UACCAGUCUCCUAGUGGUGAGGAAG
RNAcentral lists this unclassified non-coding RNA (25 nucleotides) under Mus musculus (house mouse). RNAcentral describes it as "oocyte_clustered_small_RNA4935". Lineage: Eukaryota; Metazoa; Chordata; Mammalia; Rodentia; Muridae. The record is from RNAcentral.